GGGCGGUGUGUACAAGGGGCAGGGACGUAAUCAAUGCGAGUUAAUGACUCACACUUACUGGGAAUUCCAAGUUCAUGUGAACAGUUUCAGUUCACAAUCCCAAGCAUGAAAGUGGUUCAGCGGUUUACCCGGACCUCUCGGUCUAGGAAAUACACGUUGAUACUUUCAUUGUAGCGCGCGUGCAGCCCAGGACAUCUAAGGGCAUUACAGACCUGUUAUUGCUCAAUCUCAUUAUUGCUAGACGCAAUUUGUCCAUUUAAGAAGCUAGUGUCCUUAUAAUGGGACAAACCAACAGGUACGGCUCCACUUGAAUAAACACAUUCAAACACUUAUACAUUUUACUGCAGUCAUGAAUGAAGGCUACACAAGCUUCAGCACCAUAAUCCUGAAAGCAUCUAUUUAAUAUAUUUGAGUCUCGUUCGUUAUCGGAAUUAACCAGACAAAUCACUCCACGAACUAAGAACGGCCAUGCACCACCACCCAUAGAUUCGAGAAAGAGCUAUCAAUCUGUCUUACACACUUAUGUUCGGACCUGGUAAGUUUUCCCGUGUUGAGUCAAAUUAAGCCGCAGGCUCCACUCCUGGUGGUGCCCUUCCGUCAAUUCCUUUAAGUUUCAGCUUUGCAACCAUACUUCCCCCGGAGCCCAAAAGCUUUGGUUUCCCGGGAAGCGACUGAGAGAGCCAUGAAAGUAGCUACACCCAAUUGCUAGCUGGCAUCGUUUAUGGUUAGAACUAGGGCGGUAUCUGAUCGCCUUCGAACCUCUAACUUUCGUUCUUGAUUAAUGAAAACAUCUUUGGCAAAUGCUUUCGCUUAAGUUAGUCUUACGACGGUCCAAGAAUUUCACCUCUCGCGUCGUAUUACUAAUGCCCCCAAACUGCUUCUAUUAAUCAUUACCUCUUGAUCUAAAAACCAAUGAAAGUAGAACAGAGGUCUUAUUUCAUUAUUCCAUGCACAAAAUAUUCAGGCAUUUGGAGCCUGCUUUAAGCACUCUAAUUUGUUCAAAGUAAUU
This 1009-nucleotide ribosomal RNA is filed under the name uncultured eukaryote. Its description in RNAcentral is "partial 18S ribosomal RNA". The record is from RNAcentral.